This 261-nucleotide ribosomal RNA is filed under the name uncultured prokaryote. RNAcentral describes it as "partial 16S ribosomal RNA". It matches the Rfam family "Bacterial small subunit ribosomal RNA", at positions 524 to 784 of the family's 1533-position model. The record is from RNAcentral.
UACGUAGGUGGCGAGCGUUGUCCGGAUUUACUGGGCGUAAAGGGAGCGUAGGCGGGUCGGCAAGUCAGUGGUGAAAUACAUGGGCUUAACCCAUGAAUUGCCAUUGAAACUGCCGGUCUUGAGUGGAUCAGAGGCAAGCGGAAUUCCGAGUGUAGCGGUGAAAUGCGUAGAUAUUCGGAGGAACACCAGUGGCGAAGGCGACCACCUGGACUGAUACUGACACUGAGGUGCGAAAGCGUGGGGAGCAAACAGGAUUAGAUA